Molecule: ribosomal RNA, 318 nt
Filed under: uncultured bacterium
Lineage: Bacteria
Description: bacterial SSU rRNA
Rfam family: Bacterial small subunit ribosomal RNA
Source: RNAcentral
GAUGAACGCUGGCGGCGUGCUUAACACAUGCAAGUCGAACGGACUUUUAUUGAAGCCUAGCGAUAUAAAAGUUAGUGGCGGACGGGUGAGUAACGCGUGAAUAACCUGCCUUAUACUGGGGGACGACGAGUUGGAAACGACUGCUAAUACCGCAUAAGCGCACUAAAGCUAGCAUGGCUCAGUGUGAAAAACUCCGGUAGGUAUAAGAUGGAUUCGCGUCUGAUUAGCUAGUUGGUGAGGUAACGGCUCGCCAAGGCGACGAUCAGUAGCCGGCCUGAGAGGGUGAACGGCCACAUUGGGACUGGAGACACGGCCCAA